This 74-nucleotide transfer RNA is filed under the name Acidaminococcus sp. AM05-11. RNAcentral describes it as "tRNA-Trp". It matches the Rfam family "tRNA". From Rfam's summary of the family: Transfer RNA (tRNA) molecules are approximately 80 nucleotides in length. Their secondary structure includes four short double-helical elements and three loops (D, anti-codon, and T loops). Further hydrogen bonds mediate the characteristic L-shaped molecular structure. tRNAs have two regions of fundamental functional importance: the anti-codon, which is responsible for specific mRNA codon recognition, and the 3' end, to which the tRNAs corresponding amino acid is attached (by aminoacyl-tRNA synthetases). tRNAs cope with the degeneracy of the genetic code in two manners: having more than one tRNA (with a specific anti-codon) for a particular amino acid; and 'wobble' base-pairing, i.e. permitting non-standard base-pairing at the 3rd anti-codon position. The record is from RNAcentral. Lineage: Bacteria; Bacillati; Bacillota; Negativicutes; Acidaminococcales; Acidaminococcaceae. RNAcentral also lists the same sequence under 1 other name.
AGGAGUAUAGUUCAAUGGUAGAGCUACGGUCUCCAAAACCGUCGAUCUGGGUUCGAAUCCUAGUACUCCUGCCA